This 486-nucleotide ribosomal RNA is filed under the name uncultured bacterium. RNAcentral's name for it is "partial 16S ribosomal RNA". It matches the Rfam family "Bacterial small subunit ribosomal RNA", at positions 30 to 507 of the family's 1533-position model. The record is from RNAcentral.
AUUGAACGCUGGCGACAUGCCUUACACAUGCCAGUCGAACGGCAGCACGGGUGCUUGCACCUGGUGGCGAGUGGCGAACGGGUGAGUAAUACAUCGGAACAUGUCCUGUAGUGGGGGAUAGCCCGGCGAAAGCCGGAUUAAUACCGCAUACGAUCUACGGAUGAAAGGGGGGGACCUUCGGGCCUCGCGCUAUAGGGUUGGCCGAUGGCUGAUUAGCUAGUUGGUGGGGUAAAGGCCUACCAAGGCGACGAUCAGUAGCUGGUCUGAGAGGACGACCAGUCACACUGGGACUGAGACACGGCCCAGACUCCUACGGGAGGCAGCAGUGGGGAAUUUUGGACAAUGGGCGAAAGCCUGAUCCAGCAAUGCCGCGUGUGUGAAGAAGGCCUUCGGGUUGUAAAGCACUUUUGUCCGGAAAGAAAUCCUUGGCCCUAAUACGGUCGGGGGAUGACGGUACCGGAAGAAUAAGCACCGGCUAACUACGUG